CUCUUUUCAAAGGCUUUCUAUGGUUUUUGCCUAGCAAUCAAGGAUCUGAGCUGGAAACACAAAGGUCAAAGUUUGAUCCCAGUAAAGAAGGCUUGCACUUGCAGUGGAGUGGCUCUCUUGUGUCUUUCCUCCAGUGUUGAAUGGAAAGAGCAGACCAUCUCUUUUCACCCCAGUGGUCUUGGAGUUGCUCUCUGAUGUCCGUGGGGGUUCCCCUCUAUUCUCUCCCUGCUGAAUCCCACCUCGCGGGGACCUUUCCCAAUCCUUGUAAAGGAAUAUGUUUCAGAAUGCUUACUGUGCAAGGUUUUAUACCAUCCAAUUUGAGCUGUGUGAACGUCUGGAAAGCUUCCAAAGAGCCUCAGAUCUUCCAGCAUUCCUCAGGAGAGCUGAAAGCGAGCUGCGGCCAAACACAUGAGCCUUUCACAUGAGCUCGGUGAUCAGUACCACACUACAGCUGCCGUUCACUCCUCCCUUUGGCCUGCUAAUUCUUACUUCUCUCUGUCCUUCUCUCGUUUUCUCUCCUGUUGUGUUCACCCC
Cyprinus carpio carpio is the source of this 534-nucleotide long non-coding RNA. The record is from Ensembl. Lineage: Eukaryota; Metazoa; Chordata; Actinopteri; Cypriniformes; Cyprinidae.